Molecule: non-coding RNA, 120 nt
Filed under: Xylanibacter ruminicola
Lineage: Bacteria; Pseudomonadati; Bacteroidota; Bacteroidia; Bacteroidales; Prevotellaceae
Also listed under: 1 other name
Description: Prevotella ruminicola SAM-I-IV sequence
Rfam family: SAM-I/IV (S-adenosyl methionine) riboswitch aptamer
About the family: It is found upstream of a number of genes which code for proteins involved in methionine or cysteine biosynthesis. It has been found mostly in the order Actinomycetales.
Source: RNAcentral
CCGAAACAUCAAGAGCAGUCGCCUUUAUGGCGGACUCGCCAACCGAGCAUUAGGAUGUCACGGUGGCCAAGGUACGAUGUGGAAGCAACAUUAUUAUUCACUUCAAAAUUAUCCUAAGUU